Transfer RNA from Neotoma lepida (desert woodrat), 58 nucleotides. It matches the Rfam family "tRNA", at positions 8 to 63 of the family's 71-position model. Rfam says of the family: Transfer RNA (tRNA) molecules are approximately 80 nucleotides in length. Their secondary structure includes four short double-helical elements and three loops (D, anti-codon, and T loops). The record is from Rfam. Lineage: Eukaryota; Metazoa; Chordata; Mammalia; Rodentia; Cricetidae.
UGGCUCAGUGGUUAAGAGCACUGGCUAUUCUUCCAGAGGACCUGGGUUCAAUUCCCAG